ACAGUAACUCUUUCUUUUUCUCCUCCACAGAUGCUGCCAGACCUGCCGAGCUUUUCCAGCAACUUUGUUUUUGUUCCUGAUUUACAGCAUCUGCAGUUCUUUUGGUUCUUAUUCAACAUUACCUGCUGUAUCUCCAUCUAGGGUUAGGGAGGUUUUGUUGGGUGGUAAUUAGGAUUAAGGAUGUUCACUGAUUGUUGUGAAACAUUGCACAGUCACAACUCCUCAUAUACUGAAGGUAAUUGUGUCCAAGUACAUGAAGACCUGGACGAUAUCCCAGCUUGGGUUGGUAAGUGGUAAGAUUUGCACCACACAAGAGCUGAUCAAUGACCAUUUUCAGUAAGAGAGAAUCUAACCAUUGCCCCUGGAUAUUAAUAGCAUUACCAUCACUGAAUCCUCCACUAUUAACAUCAUGAGGAUUACCACUGACCAGAAACUGAAGUGGAUUAGCCAUCUAAAUACUGACUACAACAGCAAGUCAGAGGCUAGGAAUUCUGUGGUUAGUAACACACCUCCAGCAUUGCCAAUGACUGAACACCAUCCACCAGGCACUAGUAAGAAGUGUGAUGAAAUAUUGUCCACUUGAAUGCAGCUCCAUAGACACUCAGGAAGCUCAACACCAUCCAGGAUGAAGUAGCCCACUUGUUGAGCACCCCAUCCAACACCUUCAAUGUUCAUUCUCCACCUGGUUGACAGCACACAGCAGCAGUGUGCGCUAUCUACAAAUGCAAUGCAAAAACUCUCAAAAGUCCUUUGACAGCAUCUUCCAAAUCUGUGAUCUUUACUACUUAGAUCUGUAGCAGCAGAUACAUGGAACACGUGCAAAUUUUCCUCCCAGCCACACACCAUUUGGAACUGGAAUCAUAGAAUCGCUACAAUGGAGAAAGAGGCAUUUAGACCAUUAAGUCUGCAACAACCCUCCAAAGAACAUCCCAACUAAACCGAGUCUCCUACCCUGUCCCCUUAACUCCACAUUUCUCAUGGCUAAUCCACCCAGACUGUACAUCCCCCAAACACUACGGACAAUUUAGCAUGGCCAAUCCAACUAACCCGUACAUCUUUGGAGUGUGGGAGGAAAUCAGAGCACCCGGAGGAAACCCAGGUAGAGACAGGGACAAGGUGCAAACUACACACAGCUACUCAAGCCCGGAAUUGAACCGGAGUCCCUAGCACUGUGAGGCAGCAGUGCUAAUCACUGAGCCUCUGUGCCACCCGACUUCAUUGCCACCGGGUUAAAAUCCUGGAACUCCCUUUCUAAAGGUCCUGUGAAAAUCCUAUCACCACAAAGGCUGCAGUGGUUCAAGUAGGCAGCUCUCCACCACCAUCUUCUCUGUGGCAAUUAGAGACGGAUAAUAAAUGAUGGCCUGGCCAAUGAUGCUCAGAUCCUGUGAAUAUAUUUACAAACAUUUCGCCUUCGACAUUCACAGGCUGAUUAUAUUUUUAACGUGAUUUUAACGACUUUCCCAUCGGGAAAUCUUUCCCUUCUAAUACCCCGUGAAACUAGUCUAUGAACUCAUCACUGUCAGGACAGUGUAGAAAUUCUUGCUCCUAAGGAACAUUGCUUCUUCUUCAUUUCUAAAAACCUAUAAAACCACGUCCAACACACUCCGACCCUUCUCAGCUCCUUGCUGCAGAUUCUCUCCACUCUCCAACUGAAUUAUCUUCUCCUCUCCAGACUCUCUGUUUUUCUGUUCACUCAGGCAGUGGCCCAAACUACGGUACAAGUAUUGUAGUUGUGGAAAUCUGCCCUUUGCCCCAUCUACCUGUUGGGUUAUUGUUGGAAUGGGGACGGGGACGGGAACGAGCCGGGAUCACCCGACACUGACCGCAGCCGAUGUUAAUUGAUUCAUGAUCCGCGCGGGUGUUCCACGUGAAAUUUGUAAACCCCGCCUCUAAGUUACAGCAUAACUCUCUGAUGAAGGGUCUAGGCCCGAAACGUCAGCUUUUGUGCUCCUGAGAUGCUGCUUGGCCUGCUGUGUUCAUCCAGCCUCACAUUUUAUUAUCUUGGAUUCUCCAGCAUCUGCAGUUCCCAUUAUCUCUAAGUUACAGCUCUUUGGUGCCCGACCUGAGUGACGGCAAUCCCGGACCAAUAGAAAGAGGGGAUAAGGCCGGCCUGGCCGCUGGCCAUCCAACCAAUCAGAGGGACUGAAAGGCGGGAAGAAGCCGCAACUGGACCAUGCGUACUGUUCUACAAAGAAUGAGGGAUUACUGGGGGAGACGGGAAGUCUGCUACAUAGUUUAACAAAUGCUUUGAAAAUCGAGGAAGAAAUGAUCUGUGUCGAGUUUAGCCUAAGCAGCAUUACUUAUAUGGGGUUACCGCUUGCCAAAAGCUGGCUCCCAGUUGCCAAGCCGCAUCGCGGAGCGACAUAGCCCGGAAGCAGGGAAGAGAGAGAAUUUCUCCCGUACACGUGGAGAUUGGGAUUUCGGUCAGUUCAUUUCGUAGAACAUUCAAUGGGAUCUACUUCACAGUCGGCUAACUGAAGCCACACGGCGCAUCAAGCUGUGACAGAAUCAUUCCAUUCACCAGGAUCGGUGGAAGGAAAAAGGAGCAGAAGAUGGUAAGAACUGGAGUCUAAGAUAACAGUGUGGAGUUGAAAGAUCACAGCAGGACAGGCAGCAUUCGAGGAGCAGGAAAGCUGACGUUUCAGGUCACCACUAUUUUCUUCAAGCCAAAUAGGGUAUUAGAACAUUUGCAGAAACAAAGUUGCAGGAAAAGCUCUGGUCUGGCAGCAUCUGUGAAGGAAAAAAAGCAGUUAAUGUGUCGGGUCUGGUGACCCUUCAUCAGAACUGAUGGUCCUGGGAAAACAUCAGUUGAAAUGCAGAAAAAAGGGAGGGGGACCGGGAACAGAUCAACAUCUGACUGUGUCACUCAAUUCACUGAAUAUCAUUGAUCUUUGAAUUUGGAGGGAGAUAUGCUUGUCUGUUCUGUUUAUAGGCAAAUAUUUAAAACACACGCACGCACACCGCUUGUGGCAAGGACUGUGGGAAGGGAUACGUUCACCCAUCUGUCAGACUGAGCAACCAUAAGUGAUGUCAGGGGUUGGAUUUUGCUGUUAUUGCUGCUGUUAAUCACAUCCAGACUGAACUGUGUUCCUCUUAACAGUUGACAGUUGUUUCAGUUGAUGUUAAUAAUCUCUGUAACUAGG
Molecule: long non-coding RNA, 3143 nt
Organism: Stegostoma tigrinum
Lineage: Eukaryota; Metazoa; Chordata; Chondrichthyes; Orectolobiformes; Stegostomatidae
Exons: 3
Source: RefSeq, a predicted model, not a curated record